AUACUUACCUCGCAGGGGGGAUACCGCGAUCAAGAAGGAGGUUCACCGAGGGUGCACCCCGGCUGUGCUGACCACUGAGAAUUCCCCAAAUGUGGGAAUCUCGACUGCAUUUUUUAGGGGCAGUGGUGGCCCAGC
Molecule: small nuclear RNA, 135 nt
Gene: U1
Rfam family: U1 spliceosomal RNA
About the family: U1 is a small nuclear RNA (snRNA) component of the spliceosome (involved in pre-mRNA splicing).
Source: Ensembl